GCCAACCUGAAAAGAUGGAAGAUAAGAGGCUCUGGGAACUGGUGAAGAAAGCUACAAGCCGAGCUUCGCUCUUCCCAGAUUUCAAGUAGACAAAACUGGAGUUAAGCCUUCGGUCUUUUAAAAACAUUUUCUUCUUUCUUCGUAUGCGCGGAUUCAGGCUCACAUGGACUUUUUUGAUGAUACCACAGCUCCCCUGGGUAGAAGCUUUCUGACCCACCUUUUAUGUAAG
This 229-nucleotide long non-coding RNA is filed under the name Musa acuminata (dwarf banana). RNAcentral's name for it is "long non-coding RNA (MACU_LNC009551)". Lineage: Eukaryota; Viridiplantae; Streptophyta; Magnoliopsida; Zingiberales; Musaceae. The record is from RNAcentral.